UGCGCAGGCGGAACGAUAAGUCAGUGGUGAAAUCCUACAGCUCAACUGUAGAACUGCCAUUGAAACUGUCGAUCUUGAGUAUAGUUGAAGUGGGCGGAAUGUAUCAUGUAGCGGUGAAAUGCAUAGAUAUGAUACAGAACUCCGAUAGCGAAGGCAGCUCACUAACCUAUAACUGACGCUCAGGCACGAAAGCGUGGGGAGCGAACAGGAUUAGAUACCCUGGUAGUCC
This 229-nucleotide ribosomal RNA is filed under the name uncultured bacterium. RNAcentral describes it as "partial 16S ribosomal RNA". It matches the Rfam family "Bacterial small subunit ribosomal RNA", at positions 568 to 796 of the family's 1533-position model. The record is from RNAcentral.